GAUGAACGCUGGCGGCGUGCCUAAUACAUGCAAGUCGAGCGAACGGACGAGAAGCUUGCUUCUCUGAUGUUAGCGGCGGACGGGUGAGUAACACGUGGAUAACCUACCUAUAAGACUGGGAUAACUUCGAGAAACCGUAGCUAAUACCGGAUAAUAUUUUUAACCGCAUGGUUCAAAAGUGAAAGACGGUCUUGCUGUCACUUAUAGAUGUAUCCGCGCUGCAUUAGCUAGUUGGUAAGGUAACGGCUUACCAAGGCAACGAUGCAUAGCCGACCUGAGAGGGUGAUCGGCCACACUGGAACUGAGACACGGUACAGACUCCUACAGGAGGCAGCAGUAGGGAAUCGUCCGAAAUGGGCGAAAGCCUGACGGAGCAACGCAGCGUGAGUGAUGAAGGUCUUCGGAUCGUAAAACUCUGUUAUUAGGGAAGAACAUAUGUGUAAGUAACUGUGCACAUCUUGACGGUACCUAAUCAGAAAGCAACGGCUAACUACGUG
This 497-nucleotide ribosomal RNA is filed under the name uncultured bacterium. RNAcentral's name for it is "partial 16S ribosomal RNA". It matches the Rfam family "Bacterial small subunit ribosomal RNA", at positions 28 to 507 of the family's 1533-position model. The record is from RNAcentral.